AAAUGAAUAGACGGGGGCCCGCACAAGCGGUGGAGUAUGUGGUUUAAUUCGACGCAACGCGAAGAACCUUACCAAGGCUUGACAUCGAUUGACAGACUAAGAAAUUAGUCCUUCUCUUCGGAGACAAGAAGACAGGUGGUGCAUGGUUGUCGUCAGCUCGUGUCGUGAGAUGUUGGGUUAAGUCCCGCAACGAGCGCAACCCCUGUGCUAUGUUGCCAGCAAGUAAAGUUGGGAACUCAUAGCAGACAGCCGUAGAAAUACGGAGGAAGGCGGGGAUGACGUCAAAUCAUCAUGCCCCUUAUGCCUUGGGCUACACACGUACUACAAUGGGCUUUAAUAGAGGGAAGCAAAACUGCGAAGUCGAGCAAAUCCCAAAAACAAGCUCUCAGUUCGGAUUGCAGGCUGAAACCCGCCUGCAUGAAGUCGGAAUCGCUAGUAAUCGCAGGUCAGCAUACUGCGGUGAAUACGUUCCCGGGCCUUGUACACACCGCCCGU
RNAcentral lists this ribosomal RNA (495 nucleotides) under uncultured bacterium. RNAcentral describes it as "bacterial SSU rRNA". It matches the Rfam family "Bacterial small subunit ribosomal RNA", at positions 903 to 1397 of the family's 1533-position model. The record is from RNAcentral.